CCUACGGGAGACAGCAGUCGAGAAUCUUUCACAAUGGGGGAAACCCUGAUGGUGCGACGCCGCGUGGGGGAAUGAAGGUCUUCGGAUUGUAAACCCCUGUCAUGUGGGAGCAAAUUAAAAUGAUAGUACAACAAGAGGCAGAGACGGAGAACUCUGUGCCAGCAGCCGCGGUAAUACAGCGGUCUCAAGCGUUGUUCGGAAUCACUGGGGGUAAAGCGUGCGUAGGCUGUUUCGUAAGUUGUGUGUGAAAGGCGCGGGCUCAACCCGCGGACGGCACAUGAUACUGCGAGACUAGAGUGAUGGAGGGGGAAGCGGAAUUCUCGGUGUAGCAGUGAAAUGCGUAGAGAUCAGGAGGAACACUCGUGGCGAAGGCGGGUUCCUGGACAUUAACUGACGCUGAGGCACGAAGGCCAGGGGAGCGAAAUGGAUUAGAUACCCUAGUAGUC
This 446-nucleotide ribosomal RNA is filed under the name uncultured bacterium. Its description in RNAcentral is "partial 16S ribosomal RNA". It matches the Rfam family "Bacterial small subunit ribosomal RNA", at positions 338 to 795 of the family's 1533-position model. The record is from RNAcentral.